CUACGGGUGGCUGCAGCUAAGAAUCUUCCGCAAUGGACGAAAGUCUGACGGAGCGACGCCGCGUGAACGAUGAAGGCCGUGAGGUUGUAAAGUUCUUUUCCGAGGGGAGAAUAAGGAUGGCAGGGAAUGGCCGUCUGAUGACGUGAACUCGGGAAUAAGCCCCGGCUAACUACGUGCCAGCAGCCGCGGUAACACGUAGGGGGCGAGCGUUGUUCGGAAUCAUUGGGCGUAAAGGGUGCGCAGGCGGUUAUGCAAGUCUGGUGUGAAAGGUCUCGGCUCAACCGGGGAAACGCGCUGGAAACUGUGUAACUAGAGUAUAGGAGGGGGAGUUGGAAUUCCAGGUGUAGGGGUGAAAUCUGUAGAUAUCUGGAAGAACACCGGUGGCGAAGGCGAACUUCUGGCCAUGUACUGACGCUGAGGCACGAAGGCGUGGGGAGCAAACAGGAUUAGAUACCCGCGUAGUC
This 464-nucleotide ribosomal RNA is filed under the name uncultured bacterium. RNAcentral's name for it is "partial 16S ribosomal RNA". It matches the Rfam family "Bacterial small subunit ribosomal RNA", at positions 339 to 795 of the family's 1533-position model. The record is from RNAcentral.